This 2341-nucleotide unclassified non-coding RNA is filed under the name Hevea brasiliensis (rubber tree). The record is from RNAcentral. Lineage: Eukaryota; Viridiplantae; Streptophyta; Magnoliopsida; Malpighiales; Euphorbiaceae.
UUUUUUAGUAGUUUGAAAUCAACUGUAUCAUUUAGUUAAUUUUUUUAUUAAAAGACUUUGAAUUUUUAAAUAUAUGCGAUGAAAUCAACGAAGCCAAUAAUGCGAUUUGUUCUACCUUUUGAUCGAUGUGUUGAGUCUUCGUAAGGACUUGAUCAAUCUUAGUUUUCAAUUAUUUAUAUUUAUAUUAUCUAAGAGAAAUUAUACUGUAAUUAUAUCAAAUUUUCUAUUAAAAAGAAUGGCAGGCAUGCUUAAUUCAAUAUAAAUACCCAUCACAGAAACUAGAAUGUGCCAGCAGGUACUUGCAGCUCAAUAAUUGAAUACGAUAAGUUGAUAACUCUUGAAAUGAAACUGAGUCCUCUGUAACCUUGACUGGGGAUGGGCAGUCAGCAGGGAAAGCAGCUUUAUUUGAAUACUAAAAAUAGCAUCGCAAUCAUGUUCAAAGCCCAUUGAAAAUGAAUAUUUUGGGUCUCCAAGGUACCCAUUUCUAGUUCUACAAGAAAAAUAAAAAAAUAAAAGAAAAACGAAUAUUGGAAGAAACAAAUUAUUUUCACUUGCAAAUACAUGUUUUAAGAACAAAAAAUGAUUAAAAGAAAAAGAAAGCACGAUUAUCUUUAGGACAAAAUUUGCCUUAGACAAUGACAUAAACUUUGCCAUCAUCUGAGUUAGAAAUUUUUUUCUCUUUCAUAUAUUCUUAAGCCAUACUCGCAAUCCAUGCGCAAAGAUGAUAUUUAUAUUUAUUAAUUUGUCUGAGCUGGUUAAGAUUUCGUAACAAAUAAUUAAGAUUCUCUUAAGGCAAUGGCAUAUGCCAAGAAAUGAUGCGGCUUAAAAUCCUGUGCCACUGAAAAGUAUUGUUCAACUACCUCACCUGUUCUUCCCCAAUAAUAACCAAAAAAAAUAAAAAUAAAAAUUCUCCGCCAAAUAGCUCUCAAACAGUGUUUCUGCUAAAAAUUGAAGGAAGUGAUGCUUCUCAACGUUUUGAACUCCAAAGCAGGCAAUCAUCUAAAAUUCCAAUCAAGAAUUCAAUUUAUUUAACACAGCUGAACACAUGCAUCCAAGAUUUACAGCAAAAGAAUUUCUUUUAACUUCGGAUCACUGAGAAAAGAUGGUAAAUUUUUAUUACAAUUUCAAGGUGAAGAACCCCACAAAACCUCAGCUACAAUGGUAGCUGCUUCAGCAUCAGAAACAGAAGCAUCCCUAACUCUCUUCAAUAUCUCUUGCUUGAAUGCUCUUUUCUCUCUCUGCCUCAACCCUUCCCCAACUUCUAGCUGUACUGCAAAUCUUGCUACACAGCUUGCAAAUGGAUGGAUUUCUAAGAACCUCUUUUCCCUGCUCUCUCGCCUCUCUAUCUUGUCUUCAGCACUGUUCCCGUUAGCAGUUUCUUUCCCAUCAAAUCUACCCAUGUCAAUCAAAUCACCACCAAGCUCUGAUCUUUGCAAAUCUACAAGCUUCUUUAUCAAACCUUCUUUGAGCAUAGCUUCUAUUGCCUCUUUGAGGCCAAAAUACCCAAUUUCAAGAAUGCAAUCCAUUGUUAGAACGCGAAGUUCCAGGUCUUUAUAGUCCAAGAAACUAAUGAUUUUGGGUAUUUCGCCACUGGACUCGAUCUCAUCUACCAGCGGUGACUUGAUUAACUUGAUGAGCGUACAGAGUACUUCCAUUGAUUUCCAGGAAGCCAUUGACACAAGAGCAUGAAUCAAAGGACCCAUUAGCAUUUGACCCACGAAAACAUCUUUAUUGAAUCGAAUCAAAGCUGCAACAACAAAAGCGCACUGUUCUCGAAUCCUCUUCGAGCAAUUGGGAUCGCAGAUUAUUUUUUCAAGCAACAAAAGAAUCUUAGAUUUAAGAAUCAAAUCUUGUAACUCGCGAUUAAACCCUUGCGAGAGCCUAUUCUCAAACUGAGUUAACAAACUCACCAACUCGUCUUCGUUCUUUACAGUCCCUUUCAACAAAGUCGUCAAAUUCUCGAUGCUUUCACGAUCGAUCCAGGCUUGAAUCUCAGACUCAAUCGACCCAGCGACUCGCGAGAUGGAGUGGGUGGAUACUCGGCGAGUCAAGAAAUUCCGAAGGCUAUAACCACGGGAUUUCUGACGAGUGUCAACGAGGGUUCUAAGGCUGGUGAGAUGUUGUGAAAGAGUAGAGAGAUGUGGAUCUUUGGAGAGGAUGGUGUCAGACUCAGUUUGGAGCUCUAACAGAGCUUUAAUGGCGGGUGAGUUGGAGUCAGCAGUCCUAGGAAUGGGGUGGGCUUGGAGAUCGUGAGAGGCUUGUCUGAGAGCUUCAAGGACCUUGAGGACUCUGGAGAUCUCCUCCUUGGAAGACGGGUCUUCCAUUAGUGGCCGAUUCCAGC